GUACACAGUCAUGCUUAAGCAAACCACAAGCUUCUCCCAUGCAGGCUUGGAAUUCUAUGCAGAUGAGCCUUGAUUGAGUCAUGCUUGGAAAGCAUCAGAGAAGAAAGUACGUGAAAUACAUCAACCCAACGAAGAACCUUCUUUUGCUCCAGAUGCAAAUGAUUCAAGAGAGUACAAAUGGCCAAGAAACCAUGUCCACAGUGGAAACCCGGAGGAAAAUACUUAGGAAUUAG
This 233-nucleotide long non-coding RNA is filed under the name Mus spicilegus (steppe mouse). Its description in RNAcentral is "lncRNA (ENSMSIG00000029728.1)". The record is from RNAcentral. Lineage: Eukaryota; Metazoa; Chordata; Mammalia; Rodentia; Muridae.